GACCUCCAGUGAUCCACCCGGUUUGACCUCCCAAAGUGCUGAGAUUACAGGCAUGAGUCACCACACCCAGCCAAUUCUUCAAUUCUUAAAAUUCCCUUUCCAUAUCAUUAAAGAACUCACACUGGAGAGAAACCUUAUCAAUGUUAGAAUUGUGGGAAAGCCCUCUGUUGUUCCCAUUUACCUGAAAGAUGUGAACAAAGUCACAUUGUAGAAAAAUGCUAUGAGAGUUGGGAAUCUGGAACCACUUCUUUAUUAUCUCAGGUCACAAUGAACUUGUAAGAAUUCACAGUGGCAGGAAACCCUACGUAUAUGGAAAAUAUGGGAAAGGCUUCAUUGACUCCUUAGGACAGAUACCACAAAACUCCCACUAGGAGAAAACCUGUGUUUAUAAGGAAUGUGGAAAAUUCUCACUUAUUCCUCAAGCUUUAAGGUAUAUGUCAGGAUUCUCAGUGGAGAGAAGCCGUAUUGAUGUAAGGAAUGUGGGAAAGCCUUUGCCUGCUACUCAGUCCUUGAUAAACAUUUUAGAACACAAACUGGAGAGAAACUAUGAAUUCAAGAAGUGUGGCAAAACCUUUUUAUGUUCCACAAGCUUUAAUCAUACACCAAUGUAUGCUGGAGAAGAACUUGAUGAAUAUAAUAAGUGGAAUGGCCUAGAUCAGGGGUCCCCAAACCCCUGGGCCAUGGAUUGGUACUGGUCUGUGGCCUAUUAGGAUCCAGGCCGCACAGCAGGAGGUGAAUGUAGGAUGAGCAAAUAUUACUGCCUGAGCUCCACUUUCUGUCAGAUCAGCAGCGACGUUAGAUUCUCAUAGGAGCAUGAACUCUAUUGUGAACUGCACAUGCAGGGGAUCUAGGUUGCACACUCCUUAUGAGAAUCUAAUGCCUGAUGAUCUGAACUGGAACAGGUUAAUCCCCAUCUCUAGUCCGUGGGAAAAAUGUCUUCCGCGAAACUGGUCCCUGGUGCCAAAAAGUUAGGUUACCACUGUUGUAGAUUAUGUCCCAUGUCCCAUCCACCCAUUAACAUAUUAAGGCUUUCAUCCCUAGGACCUCAAGGGAUGGUACUUGGAGAUGUGGUGGUAUUUGGAGAUGGGGUUUUUUAAAGAGGUGAUUUUAAAAUGAGGCAGUUAGAAUGGGGCCCUCAUUCAAUAUGACUGGUUUCCUUACAAGAAGUGAAAGAGAUACCAGGGUAGCAGCAACAGAUGUUUAUGUGAAGUGACCAGAAAUGGUUACCUGCAAGGCAAGGAGAGAUUCCUGGAGGAAAUGCUUCUUUUAAGGCUCAUUAUAGAGGAAAUCAUCCUUAUCUACACUUCGAUCCUGGACUUCCAGCCUCCAAAAUUAUAAGCAAAUAAAUUUCUGUUGUUUAAGCCA
Non-coding RNA from Macaca mulatta (Rhesus monkey), 1365 nucleotides. The record is from RefSeq and is a predicted model, not a curated record. NCBI's taxonomy places the organism in Eukaryota, Metazoa, Chordata, Mammalia, Primates, Cercopithecidae.